UUUUGGGUCGUGUUUACAUACCCGUGUUCGCGGGGUCCGACAUGCCAAUCAACCUGCUAUCUGCCAAUCACGGGAAUGCCUGGAAUGUUCUGACGCCGUCAUCGUGGACGGGGGUUGGGCAGGGGAAUGGAGCAUUGGAAGUUAAGACCACGUUUAGCCAUUGUUCUCUCUUACAUCUGGCCUUCACAAUUGAAGCUCACGGUUGGUUUUUGGGGUAUCUUUCAUUUAUUUGGCGUGGGCUAUGGCCAAACAGUAGCCUGUGUAAAGUUGGGUUAGUAAACCGUCAAUUCGUAAACUCAAGCCUCAGUCUGGGCAAUUGUUCCUUUAUGAUCUAGUCAGGUCAUUACAAUACGCUGCCGCUACUCUGUUUUUUAUAUUUUUUUUAAUUAAAAUUGUCUUACUUUUUAACUGCAUUGUUGGUAAAAAUAAUCUCGUAUGUAAGCAUUUCACAUUCAAGUCUACAGCUGUUGUAUUCCGUGCAUAUGACAAUUACAGUUGGACUUGAUUUGAAAGGCCCUAUACGGAUUGACCAUGAAAUGCAUGCCUCCAGCAGGAUGCACAGACAACAACUAUAGUUUGCAUGCCCUGCCGAAAGAUCCUUUCAUGCGGAAUAGAUGGUUGGAAUUUGUUGGUCCCCAGUGGUGGUGAGUAUACUGGUAGGUAGAUAAUAGACUGCUGGUUAUGUAUAUUUUGAUAAUCAUUAUCACAAUCAUCACUAGCAUAGCUGACGUUAGCUAGCUAGCUACCAACUAGCUAGCUGGCUGGCUGGCUAACUUUAGCCUACCUCAAUACAACUCACUUUUGACUUGGAAACACAAUAACAUUUCAAAAGAAGGCAAAUAAUUUGUAGGAAAACCGUUUGUCAUGAUUGUGAUGUCGCCAGAUUGACUUUAGAUGCAGUUUAACUUUAGCAAAUUAACUAAGAUUGAGGAGACCACCCUAUUUACCUAGCUAAAAUUAGCAUUGCUAGCUAUUUUUUGACUAACCUUGCUAGUAACUGUAAUGGAUGCAGCAAUGGUGGUACUAGCUAACUCAUGUCUGACUACAACAGUGUACUAACUAGCAGCAACAAACUCAAACCAACCCAGGGCCAUAGCAAAACAUAUCACAAUUGGUUGCAUACAUUGUAGUGUAACGGCGUCACCGGCCUGAAUCUAAUCCAAUCUGGAUCGAGUCAGUCAACAGAAUUGUCUUCCAAACAAGAUUAUUUUAUAUUCUUGAGCUAUGUUUAUAAUUGAGGAUUUGAUGACAAUCAUUGACCCUGUUUUUCUAAGACAAAGUGCCUAGUUGGGCCAGACCGACGCCCGCGCCAGGUCGGGCCAGACCGACGCCCGCGCCAGGUCGGGCCGGGCCAGACCGACGCCCGACCGACGCCCGGUCGGGCCAGACCGACGCCC
This is a long non-coding RNA of Oncorhynchus tshawytscha (Chinook salmon), 1397 nucleotides long. The record is from Ensembl. NCBI's taxonomy places the organism in Eukaryota, Metazoa, Chordata, Actinopteri, Salmoniformes, Salmonidae.